This is a non-coding RNA of Brugia malayi, 134 nucleotides long. The record is from Rfam. NCBI's taxonomy places the organism in Eukaryota, Metazoa, Nematoda, Chromadorea, Rhabditida, Onchocercidae.
GUGGCAUAUAGGAACCAUGUGUGAUGUGUAUGCCACAUGUGGGCCGAUAAAAUGCCAAAAUGAAAUCAUUGUAUAAAGGUCGCAGGUAGAGGGUCAGAAGUCCUCUUCAGGCAUUACCCAAGCAGUGUACAGUC